This is an RNA transcript of Cornus florida, 1184 nucleotides long. RefSeq lists it as uncharacterized. The record is from RefSeq and is a predicted model, not a curated record. The transcript is spliced from 5 exons. Lineage: Eukaryota; Viridiplantae; Streptophyta; Magnoliopsida; Cornales; Cornaceae.
AUUUACGGUACGAGCCCUACUUGCUAUCUUUCGCCUUAGUAGUAAAAUAAUCAUUUUGUUCCCUAGCUGAAGCUCAACUGCGAUGAACCAUUCAACAAUGGCGAUUCAGAUCGAGAAAUUCCUCAUCUUUCUAGUGAUAUCUGUGUUCUUCGUCUCGUCGUCGACGCUUGCGAACUCCGACGUUCCGUUCAUCGUCGCUCACAAGAAGGCCACUCUCACAAGGCUCAAGGCCGGUGUCGAACAGGUCUCCGUCUCCAUCGACAUCUACAACCAAGGAUCUGCAACUGCGUAUGAUGUUAGUCUCACUGACAAUAGCUGGUCUGAAGAUAUCUUUGAUAUAGUCACUGGUAACACUUCAAUGUCAUGGGAAAGGCUUGACGCUGAUUCUCUUCUAUCACACUCUUUUGUACUGGAGGCCAAAGUAAAAGAGGUGUUUUAUGGUGCACCAGCAGUUAUCACAUUCCGUGUCCCUACAAAAGCUGCUCUACAGGAGGCAUACUCGACUCCGAUUCUACCUUUAGAUAUCCUUGCAGAUAGGCCUCCGGAGAAGAAGUUUGACUGGGUAAGUCUUUCACAAGUAAUAAUGUAAAUCAAUUUCAUGCAGGACUUGUUAGCCACUGCUGUUCACUAAGAAGCUUUCUUGUGUUUUUUCAUGGAAUCACUUUGGUGGCCUCCAAAAUUUAUCAGGCUAAGAGGUUGUUGGCCAAGUACGGGUCGUUGAUUUCUGUGAUCUCCAUUGUGGUUUUGUUUGUGUAUUUGGUUGCAACCCCAUCAAAAUCUAGUGGGAGCAAAAAGAAGCGCUAAUCAUCAUAGAACGAAACAAAUGCAGCACCUUCCGAUAUCUGGUUUGCAACUGAAUUCCCUGAGGCAAUGGUUCUCUCAGUCCCCUCCCUGUGAUGCUAGUCAAAAUGAUCUUCUGCAUCUCCAUUCAAUUUGGGAAGUCUCAUAGUUGUUGUGAAUUUCUAAUUAGAUGUUGGUUAGAGAUGUAAUUUGGGCAGACUCGUUAGUCUGCCUGAUUCAUCUUUGAACAGGAGUUUUGUCUUAAUUGUUUUCCUUGUUUUGUGUAAUAGAAAUGAGGGCUUAUGGACUCGGGAAUUAUGGGAGUGGUAACUCUGGUGCAAGAUUAUAGGAGUGAUACUGGUUAACAAUGAAUAAGUUGGGUAUAGGAGUACUACCUUCAUGUU